AUUGAACGCUGGCGGCGUGCCUAACACAUGCAAGUCGAGCGGUAACAGGCGUAGCAAUACGUGCUGACGAGCGGCGAACGGGUGAGCAAUGCUUCGGAAUCUGCCCAAUGGUGGGGAAUAACCAGUCGAAAGAUUGGCUAAUACCGCAUACGCCCUAACGGGGAAAGCGGGGGUCGCAAGACCUCGCGCCGAUGGAUGAGCCGCAGUCGGAUUAGCUAGUUGGUAGGGUAACGGCCUACCAAGGCGACGAUCCGUAGCUGGUCUGAGAGGACGACCAGCCACACUGGGAAUGAGAAGCGGGCCAGACUCCUACGGGAGGCAGCAGUGGGGAAUAUUGGACAAUGGGAGCAACCCUGUUCCAGCGACGCCGCGUGUGUGAAGAAGGCCUGCGGGUUGUAAAGCACUUUUAGUGGGGAUGAAAAGCACAUUGCCAAUACCAGUGUGUCUUGACCUAACCCAAAGAAAAAGCACCGGCUAACUCUGUGCCAGCCGCCGCCGUAA
This 501-nucleotide ribosomal RNA is filed under the name uncultured bacterium. Its description in RNAcentral is "partial 16S ribosomal RNA". It matches the Rfam family "Bacterial small subunit ribosomal RNA", at positions 29 to 523 of the family's 1533-position model. The record is from RNAcentral.